AGACGAACCGUACAAACGUUAUUCGGAAUUACUGGGCUUAAAGGGUGCGUAGGCGGCUUGGAAAGUUGGGUGUGAAAGCCCUCGGCUCAACCGAGGAAUGGCGCCCAAAACUGCCAGGCUUGAGGGAGACAGAGGUGAGUGGAACUUAGGGUGGAGCGGUGAAAUGCGUUGAUAUCCUAAGGAACACCAGUGGCGAAAGCGACUCACUGGGUCUCUUCUGACGCUGAGGCACGAAAGCUAGGGGAGCGAACGGGAUUAGAAACCCCGGUAGUCC
RNAcentral lists this ribosomal RNA (274 nucleotides) under uncultured bacterium. RNAcentral describes it as "partial 16S ribosomal RNA". It matches the Rfam family "Bacterial small subunit ribosomal RNA", at positions 523 to 796 of the family's 1533-position model. The record is from RNAcentral.